Molecule: unclassified non-coding RNA, 737 nt
Filed under: Hevea brasiliensis (rubber tree)
Lineage: Eukaryota; Viridiplantae; Streptophyta; Magnoliopsida; Malpighiales; Euphorbiaceae
Source: RNAcentral
AAAAAUUGAAUUGAAAAUGAGUAGAAAAUAAAAGAAAAGAAAAAUGAAGAAAAUUGGAAUUAUGACAUCAAAAUAAUGUCAUUUAAAUUUUUUCCACCAAUCACCAUUUAACAAAUUUAUUUAAGAGAUAAAAUUAGAGAUAAAUUCACAAAAUUUUAGCUCAUCUUCUCACUUUCUCUCCCUCAAGUAGCCGGCCAUCCAUUAAUUCCUCCAUUUUCAUCAAGCUUUGAGCUUGAUUUUCCUUAAGUUUUUCACCCCAAAACUCUACACAUCCUUCACAAAAAUUAAUCCCCACAUCAAGAGUAACAUUUUGAUUUUCAUAAAGUGAAGAAAAUUCAAAGUUUUAACAAGCCAAGAAAGUGGUUAAAAGUGGUUAAAAGAGGUUAGUGCUAUUUUCUUCCAUAUUCUUUUAGUAAACUUAAAUUUGAGCAUGAAAAUGGAAAGAAUUACAUUAAAAAAAUUGAGAAAUUAUUCAUGUUUGAUGGAAGAAGAAUUUUGAUCAGCAUGUGUACCUAUGGGAAUUGAUGAAUUUAAAUGAAAUAAAAUGUGUUUAUUGGAGUUGCUUGUAGGUAUUUGUGAUUGGAUGUGUUAGAUGGCAUAGAUAGCAUGAAAUGGACACUUUGGGAAUUAGGAUUUGUGAAAAAUUAGAGUUUUGCUUAUGUAAUAGUAUAUUAACAUUGUAAUGGUCAAUUAGUUACCAUUUGAGUGCGUGUAAGGAGGAAUUGAAGUGAGUAAGG